Molecule: non-coding RNA, 97 nt
Organism: Acanthosepion pharaonis
Lineage: Eukaryota; Metazoa; Mollusca; Cephalopoda; Sepiida; Sepiidae
Source: the annotation of a GenBank genome assembly
CACAUCACGUUGAAAAACCGGUUCCCGUACGAUCUCCGAAGUUAAGCAACGUCGAGCUUGGUCAGUACCUAAAGAGGUGACCGCUUGGGAAUACCGG